CGGAGGGGCUCGGCUGCCGAGCCGCCACCAGGGGGCGUACCGGCGAGGGGCUGCGUCCACCUUGCCGUCGAGUGCCUCCUCCCCUCCGGCUGCCCCGAUUCCCUCUUCAUCCUCCAGCUCCAGCCCAACCCCGACACCCCGGACGUCAGGCGGGUCUUCCGUCGCCUAGCCAACCUCCUGGCCCCUCGGCGCGAUCCCUAUCCCCGGCUGACACCGCCCUUCGCGCCGUUGAAGAGGCCUUUGCCCACCUCUUGGAGAGCACCUCCACCAGCGCCGGUUUCGCUCCUGCUGCUCCCGGUGGCGUUUCCAUCUCAGAGAUGUGCUCUGGACGGUCUGCCCCCACUGCUGCCAUGUGCAUGAGUACGAGCGCAUGCUGGUGGGGUGUUUGCUUGGGUGCUCGAACCCCUGGUUCAUGUGCGUGUUCGUGGCUACCUAGCCCGCGCGGCUGCCCUCUCCCUGCUCGCCGGUCACCGCCGCUCGGGUUGUUCGCGCAGGCUAAGCCACGGAUUGUGUACGAAAUAUUCACAACAAAGCAACGGUAAGCUUGCUCUAUCCUUGAAUAAAUCUUUGCAUACUUUAUUUGGGUUGCCAUCGUAUGUUUAUCCUUAUGUAUCCUAUUGAAAUUGAAUAGAUCAAACAGAGAUCCAGUUACAGCAAAGAUGCGAAAAUUGAGUAGUCAAUAUAGCAGGUGCAGUGUGAACUCCUGUUUUCCCGUAGUAACUUCAGGUGGGUUUGGUGCAUUCACCAAUCAAAUUAGUUCAUUUUUAUCUCUAAUGUUGUUUUAUGCAUCUUUCGGUUGUUACAGAAAAAAGCCUCUCUACCUGGGUUAAGAAAUUCAGAACUUUACAGUGAGCAGAAUGUGGACCUUAUAAGGUCUACACAUGCAAGAUUCAGGAAUUGGAAACGGAAGUAACAUGGCAGAAGUUCUCCACUGGGCUCAAGGGGAUGAAUUGGUUAACUACAGAGAGCUUCAACAUGGUGGCAACCUGGUGAAGAAAUGAGAGGAAGUGGAAGGAUAGAAGGUACGCUUCUGCAGAAUCCAAGUUCUCAGGAGUAUCUCACAAAUGAGUCAUCAUAGGUGAGAGAUGUCUCAUCCAGCCGAACGAUAUUAUUGACUAUUUAAUAGCAGCUGACCAACAGUUUUGGUAAUUAGAAAAGAAGACAAUUCCACAGAAGCAAAGCCAGUUCAUUGGUCGGGAGCUAAAUUAGCAGGCAUGCUACCUGUACUAAAUACAUGUUGUGCUUCCUGUCCCUUCUGUCCUUCUAUAUACUAAACUCAUUGGCAUAUGAUGUAACAUGUUAAUAUUCUUAAUGAAAUCACCUGUAAUGGGCAUUUUUCUUAAAGAAAAGAUUACAGUAUACCAUGACUAAGGUUUCAUACAGGAUUGUGUCUCCCUUGGUGUUAUUUGCAACAGCUGAGUAGCUCCGGAGAGUGUCAACGUAUGUGCCCGAACUCAAUAGAACAAGCACUAACGAUAGCAGAACUUGAAAAAUCCAGGAGAUGGCUGCUCUCACCAUAUAGUUCAAAGGUUCACUAUCCAAUGAUGCUAUUUAUGUUUAGGGUACUUAUUGUAUAACUGGUUAUAACAGAUAUGUUGUUUUAUGAUGACAUAUCUUUAGGAAAGAACAUUCAAAUAGACAAAUUUUGCUGUGUUAGAUUUUUAUUAUUACCAAGUAUACGAGUUUGCUCUAUCUGGUUGUCUCAAAGUAUUACAGUUAUACGUGAAUAUGAUAAUCAAUUGCAUGUUUGUGAAGAACAGAGGCCUGUAAGUGUGGCGGUAUGGCCUCUUUCUAGAGACAUACUUGACUGCUUAUUAAGUUGUGGGUUGUUUUUUG
Molecule: non-coding RNA, 1836 nt
Organism: Triticum urartu
Lineage: Eukaryota; Viridiplantae; Streptophyta; Magnoliopsida; Poales; Poaceae
Source: RefSeq, a predicted model, not a curated record